Molecule: long non-coding RNA, 1482 nt
Organism: Centruroides sculpturatus (bark scorpion)
Lineage: Eukaryota; Metazoa; Arthropoda; Arachnida; Scorpiones; Buthidae
Exons: 4
Source: RefSeq, a predicted model, not a curated record
AAGCCUAAUAUGUUAUUGUUUAUUUUGUUUAAAUAAAUUAAUUGAUGCUGCUGAUAAUUAUUUUUAAAGAACAGACUCGUUCUUUAAUGAUGGAGUCCCUAAAUUAGGCCUAAAUUACUUCAAAGGAAGAAUAUCCAUUCUUUAAUCAGUGUCUAUUGAAGAGUAUUGAAACCACAUCCUGCAUCUAGGAGCAAGUUGUUACGCUCUGCAGGUUAACAAUCGCUCCCCCUCUAAAUGAACAGAUUGAUUUAUACAUGUGGUUUGGUUCUAAUUUAGGGAAUUAAAAAACUGACAAAUGAAACUGUGUAUUUUAACAAAAGUAUAAUCGCAUAAGUUUACGUACAGUUAAUGUGAUAAGGAAGAGAAGAUAAUGUAAAAUUUUUUAAAUUUUACAAUCGCAUACUUUUAGAUAUAUCGUUUUUAUCUUUACUUCAAAUUUAUAAAGUAAAUAUUAUUUUAUUCUAUCUCAAAUUUGAAAAAUAAAAUAAUAAAGUAUACUUAGAUAUCGGAAACCUAAUCCAUAGUUUAAAAUUUAAAGAAAUUAGAGUCAUAUUAGAAAUUGCUGUUUUAAACACUUCAAUUUUAUUAUUUUUGGAAAUAUUAUGUAUAAAAAGGAACAAAAACGUCAUAUAAGAUAGUGUUUAAUGGAAUAAAAAUAUUACGUAAAUAAAGUUGAUUAUUUGUGAUUAUUAUUCAUUUUAACAAUAAUAAUAAAGAAAUAAGCCAAACAAGUGUUUAAUCGGGUAUCAUAUGUGUUAUUUACCUAUGUGUAAUGGCUGUUAAUUAAACUGUGUCGAGCAGAGGAUGGUCGGAUAUUUGGUCGAAAAUCAUGGGCAUCAAUCUAUAACAGAUAGAGGGGGACAUACCUCUUCAAUAUUUUUGCACCAGCAAGUUUCCACCCUCUUUGAAGAUACAUAUGUAUUUUUAUUUUAUACCAAAAUACAAAAAUUAUGGAUAGAAACAAACACACUGCACACAACAGGUUCACUUGAUUUUUUAUAUCCACUUGAACCAAACGAUGAGAAUUUUUUCUUACUCAUUAAUAAAUUAAGGAUAAUUUGAAUUGGCAUACGUUAAAGUAUAAAAAUUUGUCAUUGUCAAUAGUACUUCCUACCUUCCAAUAUAUAUACAUAUACAGAGAAUAUACAGAUCGACCUAAUGUUGAAAAAUCUUUGUUUUGUUACAAGUAUUGGCUAACCAAACUAAGCAAUUAUUUCAACCAUUUCUUUAGUGAGAUAGCAGUAAGUUUUGUAAACUUUUAUGAUGAAAUGUUCAAUUAUAUUUUGUUCUAAUUCAUUUAUAAAGCAGAUAAUGAAUUAGCAAAUUCAAAAAGGGUUUGUAAAGUUUGCUGCUUUGUUUCAAAAUGUAAUUAUGAUUUUAUUGAUUUGCUUUGAAUGAAUUAAUUACCAAUUUUAUUGUAAUAAAAUGAAUUAAUUUAUAUUUUUGUCACAGAUGGUAGAUUUUUUUUUCUAGUCUUCCAGA